This 119-nucleotide transfer RNA is filed under the name Mortierella hygrophila. It matches the Rfam family "tRNA". Rfam says of the family: Transfer RNA (tRNA) molecules are approximately 80 nucleotides in length. Their secondary structure includes four short double-helical elements and three loops (D, anti-codon, and T loops). Lineage: Eukaryota; Fungi; Mortierellomycota; Mortierellomycetes; Mortierellales; Mortierellaceae. The record is from Rfam by way of RNAcentral.
GAAGAGGUGGCCGAGUGGUCCAAGGCGCCGCAACCACGAAGGUCUCUUCGAUUCCUCUUGGAUUCAAAAACUGCGGUCUGUUCCAAGAACAGUCGUGGGUUCAAAUCCCUCCCUCUUCU